GACGAACGCUGGCGGCGUGCUAAACACAUGCAAGUCGAACGGAAAGGCCCUGCUUUUGUGGGUUGCUCGAGUGGCGAACGGGUGAGUAACACGUGAGUAACCUGCCCUUGACUUUGGGAUAACUUCAGGAAACUGGGGCUAAUACCGGAUAGGAGCUCCUGCUGCAUGGGGGGGGUUGGAAAGUUUCGGCGGUUGGGGAUGGACUCGCGGCUUAUCAGCUUGUUGGUGGGGUAGUGGCUUACCAAGGCUUUGACGGGUAGCCGGCCUGAGAGGGUGACCGGCCACAUUGGGACUGAGAUACGGCCCAGACUCCUACGGGAGGCAGCAGUGGGGAAUAUUGCACAAUGGGCGGAAGCCUGAUGCAGCAACGCCGCGUGCGGGAUGACGGCCUUCGGGUUGUAAACCGCUUUCGCCUGUGACGAAGCGUGAGUGACGGUAAUGGGUAAAGAAGCACCGGCUAACUACGUG
This 468-nucleotide ribosomal RNA is filed under the name uncultured bacterium. RNAcentral's name for it is "partial 16S ribosomal RNA". It matches the Rfam family "Bacterial small subunit ribosomal RNA", at positions 28 to 507 of the family's 1533-position model. The record is from RNAcentral.